RNAcentral lists this long non-coding RNA (483 nucleotides) under Anas platyrhynchos platyrhynchos (common mallard). RNAcentral describes it as "lncRNA (ENSAPLG00000029649.1)". Lineage: Eukaryota; Metazoa; Chordata; Aves; Anseriformes; Anatidae. The record is from RNAcentral.
AUGCUCCCAGCCAUUACUAAAGGUUCAGCUUGUUUACCAGAAAGGAAUAAUUCCUAUUUUCACUUAAAAAUUCAGAAAAAAUGUGAACAACUUUAAGUUAAGAAAACAGCAUUAAAGAAAGAGGGAGAACAGGAACUACUGAAGGCCCUAAUGCCUAUUGGACCUGGAGUAAUGUCGAAACAGAAACAGCCUCAGUCAGAUGAAGAACUAGAAAAAUUGUAAAAAGACGGCACAAUGAUAUGCCAUGAUAUUACCAUCCUGCCAAUAGAGGAAGAUAGAUCAACAUGGACGAUCAACACCAUCUUGCUGAAAUGGAUGAGAGCAAGCACAGGCUUUUUGGCUAAUAGCAAAACAGGAAGAAGAGAUGGGCCAGACACAGAAAAAACACUGCUAUGUAAAGGAGGAGCCCUUAGAAGAACAGUCUCAUUGCUGGGCGGCUAUGCUGCAGUGCAAAAACUAAUAAAAUGCCCCAGUACUCAGUAG